UUGGGAACACUGAUAAACCCAGAGGCGAAAUGAAAGUGAAAGGCCGGCCUCGAGCCGGUCGCAGGGAAGAUGCGCGGGCGUCGUCAGACGCCCCGCCGCAUUCCCGAGGCGUUUCGAGAAAGCCCCCGUGCGAUUAUCGAGACGCACUGAGAGCGUACACGCUGGGACCCGAAAGAUGGUGAACUAUGCCUGGUCAGGUCGAAGUCAGGGGAAACCCUGAUGGAGGACCGAAGCGAUUCUGACGUGCAAAUCGAUCGUCCGAACUGGGUAUAGGGGCGAAAGACUAAUCGAACUAUCUAAUAGCUGGUUCCAUCCGAAGUUUCCCUCAGGAUAGCUGGCGCUCGAGAAACAUGACGGUCCUCGGAUCGCCAUUCGCACAGUCUCAUCCGGUAAAGCGAAUGAUUAGAGGCAUUGGGGCCGAAAUGGCCUCAACCUAUUCUCAAACUUUAAAUGGGUGAGAUCUCCUUCUUGCUCGAAGAUGAAGUAGGAGCUCGGAUGGGAGUGCCAAGUGGGCCAAUUUUGGUAAGCAGAACUGGCGCUGUGGGAUGAACCAAACGUCGAGUUAAGGCGCCCAAUGAACGCUCAUCGGAUACCAUAAAAGGCGUUGGUCGCUC
RNAcentral lists this ribosomal RNA (614 nucleotides) under Annitella iglesiasi. RNAcentral describes it as "partial large subunit ribosomal RNA". It matches the Rfam family "Eukaryotic large subunit ribosomal RNA", at positions 694 to 1233 of the family's 3401-position model. Lineage: Eukaryota; Metazoa; Arthropoda; Insecta; Trichoptera; Limnephilidae. The record is from RNAcentral.